Long non-coding RNA from Rhopalosiphum maidis (corn leaf aphid), 370 nucleotides. RefSeq lists it as uncharacterized. The record is from RefSeq and is a predicted model, not a curated record. The transcript is spliced from 3 exons. NCBI's taxonomy places the organism in Eukaryota, Metazoa, Arthropoda, Insecta, Hemiptera, Aphididae.
UUCACCGUGUGCAUCUGCUUCGAUUACGUCGGUCAUCUUGCAUUCGAUAUAUUUAGAAUAUUCAUUUUGCUCUCUGUGGGUUUUCAAUUAUUUGCAAAUAUAUUGAAUUAGUCACUUAUGCGUUUGAAAACACUAUCGGUUUUUCGUUGUAUAAAUCUACGAUCCUUUCAUCAACAUGCAUGUACUCCAGCACUUUCAGUAUUAUCUUUUCUUAACCUACACUUACUGGAUGUCUAAACUAUAAAUGGCUUUCACGAUGGGCGCUCCUAUCUCCAAAAGACCUCCUGUGUAUUAUAUCUGUGCAAACUACAAAUAUUAUUCUACUACAUGGUACCGAUGGAAUCACCUUAAUGCCAAAAACAACAUACAG